RNAcentral lists this transfer RNA (67 nucleotides) under Phelsuma cepediana. Its description in RNAcentral is "tRNA-Trp". The record is from RNAcentral. Lineage: Eukaryota; Metazoa; Chordata; Lepidosauria; Squamata; Gekkonidae.
AAAUUUAGGAUAAGUAAAACCAAGGGCCUUCAAAGCCCCAAACAGAGGACCACCCCUCUAAUUUCUG